CCUACGGGAGGCAGCAGUGGGGGAUAUUGCACAAUGGGGGAAACCCUGAUGCAGCGACGCCGCGUGGGCGAAGAAGUAUUUCGGUAUGUAAAGCCCUAUCAGCAGGGAAGAAGAAAUGACGGUACCUGAGUAAGAAGCACCGGCUAAAUACGUGCCAGCAGCCGCGGUAAUACGUAUGGUGCAAGCGGUAUCCGGAUUUACUGGGUGUAAAGGGAGCGCAGGCGGCACGGCAAGCCUGAUGUGAAAGCCCGGGGCCCAACCGAGGGUCUGCAUUGGGAACUACCGAGCUGGAGUGCCGGAGAGGUAGGCGGAAUUCCUAGUGUAGCGGUGAAAUGCGUAGAUAUUAGGAGGAACACCAGUGGCGAAGGCGGCCUACUGGACGGUGACUGACGCUGAGGCUCGAAAGCGUGGGGAGCAAACAGGAUUAGAUACCCCUGUAGUC
This 442-nucleotide ribosomal RNA is filed under the name uncultured bacterium. RNAcentral's name for it is "partial 16S ribosomal RNA". It matches the Rfam family "Bacterial small subunit ribosomal RNA", at positions 338 to 795 of the family's 1533-position model. The record is from RNAcentral.